AUGGAGAUGCAUGUGAGAUCCUCCCUGGUGGUUCUGUGGCUUCAUAUUUUUUGUGUGAGUGGCAAAACCCAAGUGGAACAGAGUCCUCUGGCCCUGGUGGUCCUGGAGGGAGAGAAUUGCACAUUUCAGUGCAAUUAUACAGUGAGCCCCGUUAACAACCUAAGGUGGUACACACAGGACCCUGGGAGAGGUCCUGUUCCCCUGAUCACCAUGACUAACAGUGACAACAAAAAGUCAGAUGGACGGUACACAGCGACUGUGGAUGCAACUGCCAAGCACAGCUCCCUGCACCUCACCGCUGCCCAGCUCGGCGACCCAGCCUUCUACAUCUGUGUGGCGGGCGCACCGUGCUCCCCAGGCACUCGCACUCUGUACCCAAACCUGCACCUGGAGGUUGUUGAGGAGCAGUUUUUGAAGUGUUGUGUGUAA
Dama dama (fallow deer) is the source of this 429-nucleotide non-coding RNA. The record is from the annotation of a RefSeq genome assembly. Lineage: Eukaryota; Metazoa; Chordata; Mammalia; Artiodactyla; Cervidae.